Molecule: ribosomal RNA, 377 nt
Filed under: uncultured Planctomycetota bacterium
Lineage: Bacteria; Pseudomonadati; Planctomycetota
Description: bacterial SSU rRNA
Rfam family: Bacterial small subunit ribosomal RNA
Source: RNAcentral
UAACACGAACCGUGCGAACGUUAUUCGGAAUCACUGGGCUUAAAGGGUGCGUAGGCGGCUUUGCAAGUGAGGUGUGAAAUCCCUCAGCUCAACUGAGGAACUGCGCUUCAAACUGCAUAGCUAGAGGGAGACAGAGGUAAGCGGAACUGAUGGUGGAGCGGUGAAAUGCGUUGAUAUCAUCAGGAACACCAGUGGCGAAGGCGGCUUACUGGGUCUCUUCUGACGCUGAGGCACGAAAGCUAGGGUAGCGAACGGGAUUAGAUACCCCGGUAGUCCUAGCUGUAAACGAUGAGUACUGGAUCGAGGAACCUUCCACAGUUUCUCGGUCGUAGCGAAAGUGUUAAGUACUCCGCCUGGGGAGUAUGGUCGCAAGGCUG